RNAcentral lists this unclassified non-coding RNA (391 nucleotides) under soil metagenome. RNAcentral's name for it is "partial contains 5.8S ribosomal RNA, internal transcribed spacer 2, and large subunit ribosomal RNA". The stretch from base 1 to 122 matches the Rfam family "5.8S ribosomal RNA", at positions 35 to 154 of the family's 154-position model. The record is from RNAcentral.
GAUGAAGAACGCAGCGAAAUGCGAUACUUGGUGUGAAUUGCAGAAUCCCGUGAACCAUCGAGUCUUUGAACGCAAGUUGCGCCCGAAGCCAUUAGGCCGAGGGCACGCCUGCCUGGGCGUCACACGUCGUUGCCCCCCCAUCUACUCCUUCGGGAUUGCGGGGGGCGGAUGAUGGCCUCCCGUGCGCCUAGUCGCGCGGUUGGCAUAAAUGCCAAGUCCUCGGCGACGCACGCCACGACAAUCGGUGGUUGCGAAACCUCGGUUGCCCGUCGUGUGCGGUCGUCGCGCAUCGAGGGCUCGAAAAAAUUGCCGGGCUCCGGCUCGGCUUUCAACGCGACCCCAGGUCAGGCGGGGUUACCCGCUGAAUUUAAGCAUAUCAAUAAGCGGAGGA